This 301-nucleotide ribosomal RNA is filed under the name uncultured bacterium. Its description in RNAcentral is "partial 16S ribosomal RNA". It matches the Rfam family "Bacterial small subunit ribosomal RNA", at positions 509 to 807 of the family's 1533-position model. The record is from RNAcentral.
CAGUCGCCACGGUAAUACAGAGGGUGCGAGCGUUAAUCGGAUUUACUGGGCGUAAAGCGUGCGUAGGCGGCUUUUUAAGUCGGAUGUGAAAUCCCUGAGCUUAACUUAGGAAUUGCAUUCGAUACUGGGAAGCUAGAGUAUGGGAGAGGAUGGUAGAAUUCCAGGUGUAGCGGUGAAAUGCGUAGAGAUCUGGAGGAAUACCGAUGGCGAAGGCAGCCAUCUGGCCUAAUACUGACGCUGAGGUACGAAAGCAUGGGGAGCAAACAGGAUUAGAUACCCCAGUAGUCCAUGUCUCUUAUAC